CCUACGGGAGGCUGCAGUGGGGAAUAUUGGACAAUGGUGGGAACCCUGAUCCAGCCAUGCCGCGUGUGUGAAGAAGGCCCUCGGGUUGUAAAGCACUUUCAGUGAGGAAGAACGCCUGGUGGUUAAUACCCAUCAGGAAAGACAUCACUCACAGAAGAAGCACCGGCUAACUCCGUGCCAGCAGCCGCGGUAAUACGGAGGGUGCGAGCGUUAAUCGGAAUUACUGGGCGUAAAGCGCGCGUAGGUGGCUUGAUAAGCCGGUUGUGAAAGCCCCGGGCUCAACCUGGGAACGGCAUCCGGAACUGUCAAGCUAGAGUGCAGGAGAGGAAGGUAGAAUUCCCGGUGUAGCGGUGAAAUGCGUAGAGAUCGGGAGGAAUACCAGUGGCGAAGGCGGCCUUCUGGACUGACACUGACACUGAGGUGCGAAAGCGUGGGUAGCAAACAGGAUUAGAUACCCGAGUAGUC
This 465-nucleotide ribosomal RNA is filed under the name Vreelandella stevensii. RNAcentral's name for it is "partial 16S ribosomal RNA". It matches the Rfam family "Bacterial small subunit ribosomal RNA", at positions 338 to 795 of the family's 1533-position model. The record is from RNAcentral. Lineage: Bacteria; Pseudomonadati; Pseudomonadota; Gammaproteobacteria; Oceanospirillales; Halomonadaceae.